GGCGAACGCUGGCGGCGUGCUUAACACAUGCAAGUCGAACGGAAAGGCCCUGCUUUUGUGGGGUGCUCGAGUGGCGAACGGGUGAGUAACACGUGAGUAACCUGCCCUUGACUUUGGGAUAACUUCAGGAAACUGGGGCUAAUACCGGAUAGGAGCUCCUGCUGCAUGGUGGGGGUUGGAAAGUUUCGGCGGUUGGGGAUGGACUCGCGGCUUAUCAGCUUGUUGGUGGGGUAGUGGCUUACCAAGGCUCUGACGGGUAGCCGGCCUGAGAGGGUGACCGGCCACAUUGGGACUGAGAUACGGCCCAGACUCCUACGGGAGGCAGCAGUGGGGAAUAUUGCACAAUGGGCGGAAGCCUGAUGCAGCAACGCCGCGUGCGGGAUGACGGCCUUCGGGUUGUAAACCGCUUUCGCCUGUGACGAAGCGUGAGUGACGGUAAUGGGUAAAGAAGCACCGGCUAACUACGUG
RNAcentral lists this ribosomal RNA (468 nucleotides) under uncultured bacterium. Its description in RNAcentral is "partial 16S ribosomal RNA". It matches the Rfam family "Bacterial small subunit ribosomal RNA", at positions 28 to 507 of the family's 1533-position model. The record is from RNAcentral.